RNAcentral lists this long non-coding RNA (243 nucleotides) under Vitis vinifera (wine grape). RNAcentral's name for it is "long non-coding RNA (VVIN_LNC001096)". The record is from RNAcentral. Lineage: Eukaryota; Viridiplantae; Streptophyta; Magnoliopsida; Vitales; Vitaceae.
CAAGGAGCAUAUGUAAAGUUUCGACGAAUUAGUUUCGGUACAAAAUGAAUCUAUGUAGGAAACAACUUUAAAGUUGAGGUCAAGGGUAUUGGAACGUGUAAAUUGGAGUUGCAUAGAGGAUGUACUCUAUUCAUACAUGAUGUUCUUUAUGCUUUGGAUAUUCGAUGAAAUUUAGUCUCUGUGUUAGUCCUUCUUGGUUUAGGUUUCAAUUUGAAUUUUCAUGAUUCAGUAAUGGAGUUGUAU